UACGUAGGGUGCAAGCGUUGUCCGGAAUUAUUGGGCGUAAAGAGCUCGUAGGCGGUCUGUCGCGUCUGCUGUGAAAACUCGGGGCUUAACCCCGGGCCUGCAGUGGGUACGGGCAGACUAGAGUGCGGUAGGGGAGACUGGAAUUCCUGGUGUGGCGGUGGAAUGCGCAGAUAUCAGGAGGAACACCGGCGGCGAAGGCGGUUCUCUGGGCAUGACCUGACGCUGAGGAGCGAAAGCAUGGGGAGCGAACAGG
This 253-nucleotide ribosomal RNA is filed under the name uncultured bacterium. RNAcentral describes it as "partial 16S ribosomal RNA". It matches the Rfam family "Bacterial small subunit ribosomal RNA", at positions 524 to 776 of the family's 1533-position model. The record is from RNAcentral.